UGGACGAAGUCUGACGGAGCAACGCCGCGUGAACGAUGAAGGCCUUCGGGUCGUAAAGUUCUGUUGUCAGGGAAGAACAAGUACCGGAGUAACUGCCGGUACCUUGACGGUACCUGACCAGAAAGCCACGGCUAACUACGUGCCAGCAGCCGCGGUAAUACGUAGGUGGCAAGCGUUGUCCGGAAUUAUUGGGCGUAAAGCGCGCGCAGGCGGUUCCUUAAGUCUGAUGUGAAAGCCCCCGGCUCAACCGGGGAGGGUCAUUGGAAACUGGGGAACUUGAGUGCAGAAGAGGAGAGCGGAAUUCCACGUGUAGCGGUGAAAUGCGUAGAGAUGUGGAGGAACACCAGUGGCGAAGGCGGCUCUCUGGUCUGUAACUGACGCUGAGGCGCGAAAGCGUGGGGAGCGAACAGGAUUAGAUACCCUGGUAGUCCACGCCGUAAACGAUGAGUGCUAAGUGUUAGAGGGUUUCCGCCCUUUAGUGCUGCAGCAAACGCAUUAAGCACUCCGCCUGGGGAGUACGGCCGCAAGGCUGAAACUCAAAGGAAUUGACGGGGGCCCGCACAAGCGGUGGAGCAUGUGGUUUAAUUCGAAGCAACGCGAAGAACCUUACCAGGUCUUGACAUCCUCUGACAACCCUAGAGAUAGGGCGUUCCCCUUCGGGGGACAGAGUGACAGGUGGUGCAUGGUUGUCGUCAGCUCGUGUCGUGAGAUGUUGGGUUAAGUCCCGCAACGAGCGCAACCCUUGAUCUUAGUUGCCAGCAUUCAGUUGGGCACUCUAAGGUGACUGCCGGUGACAAACCGGAGGAAGGUGGGGAUGACGUCAAA
This 825-nucleotide ribosomal RNA is filed under the name uncultured Bacillus sp. Its description in RNAcentral is "bacterial SSU rRNA". It matches the Rfam family "Bacterial small subunit ribosomal RNA", at positions 372 to 1189 of the family's 1533-position model. The record is from RNAcentral. Lineage: Bacteria; Bacillati; Bacillota; Bacilli; Caryophanales; Bacillaceae.